GGAGGUCCGAACCCACGAGCGUUGAAAAGCUCGGGGAUGACUUGUGGGUAGCGGUGAAAUUCCAAUCGAGCCCGGAGAUAGCUGGUUCUCCCCGAAAUAGCUUUAGGGCUAGCCUCAAGGUGAGAGAUACGGAGGUAGAGCACUGAAUGUCCUAGGGGGUAUUGCACCUACCGAAGACUAUCAAACUCCGAAUGCCGUCAUCUUAUACUUGGGAGUCAGACUGUGGGUGAUAAGAUUCAUAGUCGAAAGGGCAACAGCCCAGAUCGUCAGCUAAGGUCCCUAAAUGUAAGUUAAGUGGUAAAGGAUGUGGGAUUGCACAGACAACCAGGAUGUUGGCUUAGAAGCAGCCACUCAUUCAAAGAGUGCGUAAUAGCUCACUGGUCGAGUGAUCCUGCGCCGAAGAUUUCCGGGGCUAAAACUUACUACCGAAGCUACGGCAUCAGUAAUGAUGGGUAGGGGAGCUUCCCAUACGGGUUGAAGCAUGACCGUAAGGACAUGUGGACAGUAUGGGAGUGAGAAUGUUGGCAUGAGUAGCGAGAUGUGGGUGAGAAUCCCACAGGCCGUAAACCCAAGGUUUCCAGGGGAAGGUUCGUCCGCCCUGGGUUAGUCGGGACCUAAGCUGAGGCCGAAAGGCGUAGGUGAUGGACAACAGGUUGAUAUUCCUGUACUACCGAUAACCGUUUGAGAGAUGGGAUGACACAGUAGGAUAAGCUAAGCACACUGUUGGUUAUGUGUGCCCAAGCAUUGAGGCAGUCCAAGUAGGCAAAUCCGCUUUGAUAAUGCUGGGAUGUGAUGGGGAGCGAAAUUUAGUAGCGUAGUAGCUGAUUUCACACUGUCAAGAAAAGUCUCUAUCGAGGUUAAAGGUACCCGUACCGCAAACCGACACAGGUGGGUGAGGAGAGUAUCCUAAGGCCA
RNAcentral lists this ribosomal RNA (915 nucleotides) under Clostridioides difficile. RNAcentral describes it as "bacterial LSU rRNA". It matches the Rfam family "Bacterial large subunit ribosomal RNA", at positions 768 to 1689 of the family's 2925-position model. The record is from RNAcentral. Lineage: Bacteria; Bacillati; Bacillota; Clostridia; Peptostreptococcales; Peptostreptococcaceae.